CCCCUUUCCAGAGAAGCAGGGUCCCCCCUUUCCAUGGAAGCAAGUUCCCCUUUUGAACAGAGACAGGUAACAGGCAGCCAAGGAGGUUCCUCUUGGCUCCUGCUGUCGGGACCUGCAGGCUGGCUCUCUAGGGUCAGCAGGGGAUUCCCCCCUGCCGCCUAUGCUGCCCCCCUCCCCCUGCCCUGACCUCUGCUCUGGGCCUCAGGUCCUGCUAACUGCAGACUGCAGCCCAGGGCCCUCCCUGCCUGUCACUGUGGGGUCCUGAUCCCCUGGCAGCCUAGGGCCCCAACGGCACAUGCUUGGGGACUGGAGACGAAUACUUCCUGAGAUCACCCCGAAGGCCGUCCUCGCUGGCUCCUGCUGCAGUUUCUCUUUCUCUUUCAGCCAGCGAGGCAGCAGGAAGCCCAAGUGCUGAAGCUCAUCCUGCUGGCAGGGGGCAGGGGACAGCAGCCAGGGAAUGAGGGGUCCUAAGGAGAGACAUGGAGCCUCUGCGAGGCUGGGGGCCGCCACCCUGGAGCCCGGCACCCAAGGCUGACGCCCUGAGCCUGUAAAAAUAAGUCGCGUACCCAUGCCUUAUAAAUUUAGCCCUAACCCUCAACUCAGGGCAGCAGCAGGAGCUCUGACUGCCCAUGGGUCCUGUCCCCAUGCCUGCAGCUCUUCACUGCCCAUGGGUCCUGUCCCCAUGCUAUUCCAUACUAUUCUCUAAAUAAAAGAGCACCACUGCCAGGCCUUGAGAGUUCAAGAAAUCUUUCUUUCGACUCCUCGGCUCACUGACCCCACAUCAUUUCUGGUGGCCUGUACGGGCAACUUGCUUCAUCGGCUUGUGAGCUCAAGUUCUGGACACAUUGGUUAUAUUACCAAGCCUUUGACCGCAAUGUCAUAUUUGAAACAUACAGGCUCAGAUAUGACAAGACAGCUUUUCAGGAACAAAGAUUGGACUUUCUGGAAUACAGCCACUUGGAAACAUGGGCCUGGUACCUUGUUUACAGAGAUUCUGGCAAUCUUACCCGGAAGAGAGCGGAUUUCUCUGAGACGUCUCGGGGGCCUCUGAAAAUCCCCAGACAAACUCUCCGUCCUCUCCUAGGUCAAAAGAAAGCCUUUAUUCAGGACUCGAAUAUUUUGCAGGGUGGAGGAGAGCCUGUCAAAAAAUAUUAAAAGAUUUAAAACAUUUGUUCAGAUAGGAAACAACGCUCCCUGCAAAACCACGCUCAUGCAUCUAUUCAAAGUGGCAACAGAAAUAGUCAAGGGCAAACAGAGUUAAAGCAGUGAUUUUGCAUCAGCUUGCUUUUGAAAUUGAAACUUAUUUACUUAAUAAAUUCAUUUCAAUCUCAGUCACCUUGACCAUAAACAAAACUCCUCAGGGUUUUACUUCCACAAACCUUCUGUCACCUGCUUUUCACCUUCAGAAUUUGUCCCAGGUCUUCUUUCCUUUUUUAUUUUCUUUCCUAGUUCUUCAGGACAAAUUUGUCUUUCUUAACAAAACAAACAAAAAUAUCUCUAUUCUUUUUAUCUCCUUUACUGAAAACAUACAUUUUACUUUCCUUGUAUACAGGCUUUUUAGAAAUAUGUCUUUUCUCAUAGAAAAUUCCUCAGCAUACAUAAAACAUGUUUAUCAAUAGGGCCUAAGCAUCUUUCAGUUUCUUUGGGAUAAGAAAUCAAACGCAGACAAAUCUAUGCUUAGGAAUCAACUUUUAAUAUUUUAUCUUAUGUGGAAAUGACGUAGAUACCAAAUAAACUUUCAUUAUUUAAUUGAACUUAACAAAGCUCUGAAAAGCUUAAAUUUCCAAAAAGAUUUUGGAAGGUGUUUUUCAAGUAUGCAGACUAUAAAACAUAAUUGUUGUACUUAAAAACUCUUACCCAUUUUCAACAACUAAAUUUAGGCUGCCUACAAAAACCUCGUGAGGCAUCAAACAAAAUCAGCUAUUAUACCAAGUUAUUUUUGCUGAUAAGUUCUCUAACAGAGAUAACAUGAGUUCAUUUGACCAGUUGACCCAGGCUAUACGUCUGCAUUAUAUCCACCAAUGCUAACUUUGAGGACAUGCCUAUUUUAAAUCAAACCAGCAAACUUAAACAGGCUUUUGUUUACCAAAGAUCAUUUUGUAUCAUGCUGAACACCUUGAAACACCUUUGGGAUAGUAUUUCUUACAUUUAGAAUUUAUAGUAUGUAUUUAGUUUAAAUCAAUUAAAUAGAGCUCUGAAUUUUGGCCAUACAAUGCAGAUAUAAAACAUCAUACACAUCUAACAUACAUAUAGACACACAUACACAGAGUUCCCACUGUUAUUAUUUAAAAAUUACUGCCAUGAAUCAGGUACAGUAACACAAAGCACCCUAGGUAGGAAUCCAAAUUUCGUUUUUCCAAGUUGCAUACCAGUGGUUGCAGCAUGAGGCUCUGUUGAAUUUUCCCAUUGACUCCAACAAUGGCAACUGAGGAAUUAUUUAAUGAUGAAUAAGUGGCAUCAGUACCCAGCAGAAAGUCAGCCAAUUGUGUCCCCACUGUCCCUUGUACCCAGGGCUCAUGGGGGACUAUUGGAACGGGAGCCACCAGCAUGGCAAAGAACCCUUGGCCCCAUCAGUCGUCUUCCUCCUCAGAGUCUUGGACUCAAGAGGUCAGGGAGCUUGUUAGGAGGACCCCGAUUUUUCCCUCUCAUGCCUUCCUCCAGCUUAGGGCACUCAUUUUUCCAGGGCCCCUUUUCUUUGCAGUAGGCACACUGAUUUUUCCCCAAUAUUUGGUGCACCUCCCUAUGCAGCCCUGGCUCCCCUUUUCUGUCUCUCCAUCUGGGGGAGCUGUGUAAAGCCCUUGGCGGGCUUGGCUUUACGUUCCUCUCGAGCAUUAUAAACUUUGAAAGCAACUUUCAUCAAGUGACCAGAACUUGUGGCUGUGGUGCCUUCAACCUUCUUGAGCUUCCUUCUAAUGUCGGGGGCAUUUACCAUCAGGGGCUGUGUCACAUAGAAAUUAGGAUUAAAGAGAUUUAAAACGCUCAGGGUUGGCAUGUCCUCAUCAAGUUUUUCUUUUGGUAUCUGAGCAUCUUUGACUACUGGGAGCUUGGCUUUUCUUUGGACCGUCAGCUUGUUCCCUGGCAGGACACCCGAUCAUGCAACCACAUAAAACCCUGCACAGGUGGAAACUCAUCCCGUUUUCCAGACCUUUCACAACACAACUCCAGCUGUAAGAUGGUGUAAUAACUCAAAGUUCCAUUCAAUGUCCAUCUUUCCUCACUUUCCAAGACAUACAUCAGCCAGGUGGUGUUACAACAAAAUACCAUAUUUUUUGUCAUCGGCUUGUAACUAUGGAUUGACCAUCAGCCAAAAUCUUUCCCAAGGGGCUCCAUGUGGUGACUCCCAUGUCAACACAAAAGGGGACAGACAGACAGACAAACAACAACCAAAGAGACCAAACCAAACCAAACAAGCAUGCUUUUCCAAACACCCUCAGCCAGCAACGGAAGCCAAUACAAAGAAACCAAAACUCACAACACUUCAGUUCCAGCGUAGUCUGUGUCCUACUGACAGGUGUGCCCAAUAAAUGAAGUCGCAGCCUACAGAUCUUCCCAAAUGAGCAAAGACAAGGGACCUCGAUUGUGCACACCGGGGGACUGACCUAGUUGGGCUGGGGGAUCACGACUCCACACAAACGCUCUUUCCUUCUCCCCAAGGUAGUUUCCAGAGGUCUCCAGAGGUCCAGACGGCCACCCAGGGGAUGAAGCAUGAGGGAAGCCUCCCAGAGUGAAACCCGCUUUCCCAGCGGCUGGAGCGGCCCCUCUGGCUGUGCUGGGCACUCCGCAGAGGCCAGCCAAGGGAGCAGACCUGGACUCGACCUGGGUGAAGUCCAGUCAACUAAGUACUGGUCCCGGGUGAUCAGGCCUCCCUGAGUCUUUCUCCAGCUGUCCACUUCCACAACUGGGGCAGGCGCAGAGCACAACUCUGGAGCAUCCGAAGAAGCCGAGGGGGUCUCAGCGGGAACAACCCACAGGUCCCAUCUGGGUCGCCAACUGUGUAACCAAAAGUUCAGUCUCUGAACCCGAUGCCAAUCCAAAUAACGAGGACAGAGUCUUGAGGGGAAAGGAAAGAGCGUUUACUUUCUUUGCCCAGCAGGGGGAGCACAGCAAGGGCUGGUGCCUCAAGCACUGCUAGCUCCCCAUUAAGAAACGCGUAGGGGUUUUUAUUUGGGGUUUUAGGUAGGGGAGGGGAGCUGUGACCUUCUUGGUCAGCAUUUUCCCAUCGGCCCACGUUUGGGACAGCUUCCAAGGGCGGGGAGACAAAGGAUUCCACAGAUGGACGUCCCUGGCUGUUUAUCUCCAUGGUGGAUGGUGGACUCUGGGAAGCUUCUGUUUCUUGACGUUCUCUGGGCACUAAUUUCUCUGUGAAAGAACUUCAAG
Equus caballus (horse) is the source of this 4377-nucleotide long non-coding RNA. NCBI's taxonomy places the organism in Eukaryota, Metazoa, Chordata, Mammalia, Perissodactyla, Equidae. The record is from Ensembl.